CUACUACUUAUAAAGGCACGAAGUGCCGUUGGAAAAUUGAAUCUGAAACGUCCAUCCAUUUGCAUCACACGGUUAACAGUAAUCUGUUCUCCCCACCCACGAUUUCCGCCAGCGCCAUCUCCCCACGCUCAUUUUCCAAAAAUAUCUGGCUCAAUACAUCUGCGUUGCCCAAAUCACGAAACGACAAGGAAACCGUUCCUCUAAAUCGGGCCCUUCCUAGCGAGCUCUCCAUCUCCAUCUCCAACGAUAGAAACAAGGGCGGACACUUCCUGGCGGACUAUCCCGGAAGGCCGAAACUGACGGAUCAAAAAAAAAAACUGCCUCGCACGUUCACCCCGCCUCUCCGCGCAGGGCCACGGAGAUCAGUUCUCCCUUCUCCCCAUCCUUCCCAAUUUCUCACGCAACCUUUGCCCUGCGCCGCCACACCCUCUCCUCCGCCGCCUCCCCACAGGAUGUCGCCUGACCCGCUCGGGCGCCUCCUCGACGAUUGAUGCGGAACCGUCUGGUAGAGAGCGCCAUGGCCUCCUCUCUAGGGAUUCAGAAAUCGGGAGGGGGCAGGGAGAGAGGUCACGAUAGGCGUGGAUGGAAGGGAAGGCGCAGGACGACCCAGAAGACAUCCGCCCGCACGCUCUCACAGUCUCGCUCUGCCGGAUGGUACUGCACCGCCGGACGACGAGGGCUCCUUGUUGCUGGCCAAACUCAAGCGCUUUCUCGCGAAGAUAAUUGUGGAUUCCAAAGUAACGACCACUGUUAUCUUACUCCUUGGUGCUGGAAAGUGGUGGUAGUAGAACCAUAUAAAUCUCAGACAAUUACAUGUAUCUCGCCAAUUAGGCCAAUCUUGGUGCUGAAUCGUGUUAUGUUGGGUGUGCACCUAUAUGGGGUAGUAGCAGCAAUGAAAGACUCAUGGACCCACCCAAUAGAAGCUACGUAAUCUAGAGUUGAAGCCAAUUUCAGAACACUAGGUUCUGGAAUCUCCCCAGAUCCAGAAGCUUGGAAGCGCAGAUGGAGGACUUUUGAUAUCUAUAUACAGGGAGAGGGCAAGGAGCAGAAUUCUGACAUAAGAGAGGCUGCAAGAGAGUGAAUUCUUUUGUUAUUGUAAAGAAGGAUUAUGUUGUUCGUGUGGAAAAAAGCUUCCUUGAUA
Molecule: long non-coding RNA, 1141 nt
Organism: Lolium perenne
Lineage: Eukaryota; Viridiplantae; Streptophyta; Magnoliopsida; Poales; Poaceae
Source: RefSeq, a predicted model, not a curated record